CAUGACAACAGAAGACACAGAAAUCCUCCUCAUCAAAAACAUGACUCUGAUCUGUGUCUUCGUCUGGACUCUCCUCUGCUGCUGCUUCACAGAGUCCAGAGGACAGACCACAGUGACUCAGUCUGAAGCAGUGAGCUCUGCUCUGGGAGGUUCUGUCACCAUCAGCUGUAAGACCAGUCCCAAUGUUCGUGUCUGGAGCAAUUACCAACUUGUAGCAUGGUACAAACAGAGAGAUGGAGGAGUUCCUAAACUGCUCAUUUACUUCGCCAGCACUCGAGAAUCAGGGAUUCCAGAUCGUUUUACAGGCAGAGGAUCAAACUCUGACUUCAGUCUGACCAUCAGUGGAGUCCAGACAGAAGAUGCUGCAGUUUAUUACUGUAUGGGUCAAUUCUACAUCAACAGUCAGCUGUGGUGGACUUUUGGUGGAGGAACCAGACUGGAUGUUGGAAGUGAUGUCCGUCCCACCCUGACGGUGCUGCCCCCCUCCAGUGAGGAGCUGCAGCAGGGGAAGGCCACGCUCAUGUGCCUGGCCAACAAGGGCUUCCCCUCAGACUGGAGUCUGUCCUGGAAGGUGGACGGCAGCAGCAGCAGCAGCAGCAGCAUGAGCUGGGAGGAGAGCAGGAGCCCCGGGGUGCUGGAGAAGGACGGCCACUACAGCUGGAGCAGCACCCUGAUGCUCCCUGCAGACCAGUGGAGGAAGGUGGUCUCUGUGAGCUGUGAGGCCACCCAGGGCUCCCAGACUCCACUCUCAGAGACACUGAGGAGAGACCAGUGUUCCCAGUCCUGACUCACUCACUGGGACUCUCAUACUGGUCUGAAUCUGUUACUGCUCUCAGCUCUCUUUAACAAACUCUCUCUCUAAUCUUACCUUUUCUGUAUUAUUUCCUUGAUGUCAACCUUGUGAUUUCAAAAUUUCACAACAAUAAAAGUUUAUCAGAUUAAC
Molecule: non-coding RNA, 943 nt
Organism: Acanthochromis polyacanthus (spiny chromis)
Lineage: Eukaryota; Metazoa; Chordata; Actinopteri; Pomacentridae
Source: the annotation of a RefSeq genome assembly